This 515-nucleotide ribosomal RNA is filed under the name uncultured bacterium. Its description in RNAcentral is "partial 16S ribosomal RNA". It matches the Rfam family "Bacterial small subunit ribosomal RNA", at positions 28 to 523 of the family's 1533-position model. The record is from RNAcentral.
GAUGAACGCUGGCGGCGCGCCUAGUACAUGCAAGUCGAGCGAAUGGAUUAAGAGCUUGCUCUUAUGAGGUUAGCGGCGGACGGGUGAGUAACACGUGGGUAACCUGCCCAUAAGACUGGGAUAACUCCGGGAAACCGGGGCUAAUACCGGAUAACAUUUUGAACCGCAUGGUUCGAAAUUGAAAGGCGGCUUCGGCUGUCACUUAUGGAUGGACCCGCGUCGCAUUAGCUAGUUGGUGAGGUAACGGCUCACCAAGGCAACGAUGCGUAGCCGACCUGAGAGGGUGAUCGGCACCACUGGGACUGGGACACGGCCCAGACUCCUACGGGAGGCAGCAGUAGGGAAUCUUCCGCAAUGGACGAAAGUCUGACGGAGCAACGCCGCGUGAGUGAUGAAGGCUUUCGGGUCGUAAAACUCUGUUGUUAGGGAAGAACAAGUGCUAGUUGAAUAAGCUGGCACCUUGACGGUACCUAACCAGAAAGCCACGGCUAACUACGUGCCAGCCGCCGCCGUAA